AUGCAGCCAUGCCGCGUGUGUGAAGAAGGCCUUCGGGUUGUAAAGCACUUUCAGUCGUGAGGAAGGUAGUGUAGUUAAUAGCUGCAUUAUUUGACGUUAGCGACAGAAGAAGCACCGGCUAACUCCGUGCCAGCAGCCGCGGUAAUACGGAGGGUGCGAGCGUUAAUCGGAAUUACUGGGCGUAAAGCGCAUGCAGGUGGUUUGUUAAGUCAGAUGUGAAAGCCCGGGGCUCAACCUCGGAAUUGCAUUUGAAACUGGCAGACUAGAGUACUGUAGAGGGGGGUAGAAUUUCAGGUGUAGCGGUGAAAUGCGUAGAGAUCUGAAGGAAUACCGGUGGCGAAGGCGGCCCCCUGGACAGAUACUGACACUCAGAUGCGAAAGCGUGGGGAGCAAACAGGAUUAGAUACCCUGGUAGUCCACGCCGUAAACGAUGUCUACUUGGAGGUUGUGGCCUUGAGCCGUGGCUUUCGGAGCUAACGCGUUAAGUAGACCGCCUGG
This 498-nucleotide ribosomal RNA is filed under the name Vibrio sp. RNAcentral describes it as "bacterial SSU rRNA". It matches the Rfam family "Bacterial small subunit ribosomal RNA", at positions 386 to 876 of the family's 1533-position model. Lineage: Bacteria; Pseudomonadati; Pseudomonadota; Gammaproteobacteria; Vibrionales; Vibrionaceae. The record is from RNAcentral.